CAGCCGCCGCGGUAAUACGAAGGGGGCUAGCGUUGCUCGGAAUCACUGGGCGUAAAGGGUGCGUAGGCGGGUCUUUAAGUCAGGGGUGAAAUCCUGGAGCUCAACUCCAGAACUGCCUUUGAUACUGAAGAUCUUGAGUUCGGGAGAGGUGAGUGGAACUGCGAGUGUAGAGGUGAAAUUCGUAGAUAUUCGCAAGAACACCAGUGGCGAAGGCGGCUCACUGGCCCGAUACUGACGCUGGGGCGCGAAAGCGUGGGGAGCGAACAGGAUUAGAUACCCCUGUAGUCCCUGUCUCUUAUAC
Molecule: ribosomal RNA, 301 nt
Filed under: uncultured bacterium
Lineage: Bacteria
Description: partial 16S ribosomal RNA
Rfam family: Bacterial small subunit ribosomal RNA
Source: RNAcentral